CACAGAGUUAGCCGAGCCUUAUUCCCGGGGUACCGUCAUUAUCGUCCCCCGAAAAAGGAGUUUACAACCCGAAGGCCGUCAUCCUCCACGCGGCGUUGCUCGUUCAGGCUUGCGCCCAUUGACGAAAAUUCCUUG
Molecule: ribosomal RNA, 135 nt
Filed under: uncultured bacterium
Lineage: Bacteria
Description: partial 16S ribosomal RNA
Source: RNAcentral